GUUUAUAUAAUUUAUAUUAGAAUAUUGUGUUGAAGUUACAAAAGAGAUAUUUAUCUAUAGGCA
This 63-nucleotide transfer RNA is filed under the name Tenuilapotamon latilum. Its description in RNAcentral is "tRNA-Phe". The record is from RNAcentral. Lineage: Eukaryota; Metazoa; Arthropoda; Malacostraca; Decapoda; Potamidae.